GAUCUGGCUCAGGACGAACGCUGGCGGCACGCUUAACACAUGCAAGUCGAACGGAGAACAUUGAGCUUGCUUAAUGUUCUUAGUGGCGGACGGGUGAGUAACACGUGAGUAACCUGCCUCUGAGAGUGGGAUAGCUUCUGGAAACGGAUGGUAAUACCGCAUAACAUCAUGGAUUCGCAUGUUUCUAUGAUCAAAGAUUUAUCGCUUAGAGAUGGACUCGCGU
RNAcentral lists this ribosomal RNA (223 nucleotides) under uncultured bacterium. RNAcentral's name for it is "partial 16S ribosomal RNA". It matches the Rfam family "Bacterial small subunit ribosomal RNA", at positions 15 to 236 of the family's 1533-position model. The record is from RNAcentral.